This 383-nucleotide ribosomal RNA is filed under the name uncultured bacterium. Its description in RNAcentral is "partial 16S ribosomal RNA". It matches the Rfam family "Bacterial small subunit ribosomal RNA", at positions 355 to 730 of the family's 1533-position model. The record is from RNAcentral.
UGGGGAAUUUUGGACAAUGGGCGAAAGCCUGAUCCAGCAAUGCCGCGUGUGUGAAGAAGGCCUUCGGGUUGUAAAGCACUUUUGUCCGGAAAGAAAUCCUUGGCUCUAAUACAGUCGGGGGAUGACGGUACCGGAAGAAUAAGCACCGGCUAACUACGUGCCAGCAGCCGCGGUAAUACGUAGGGUGCAAGCGUUAAUCGGAAUUACUGGGCGUAAAGCGUGCGCAGGCGGUUUGCUAAGACCGAUGUGAAAUCCCCGGGCUCAACCUGGGAACUGCAUUGGUGACUGGCAGGCUAGAGUAUGGCAGAGGGGGGUAGAAUUCCACGUGUAGCAGUGAAAUGCGUAGAGAUGUGGAGGAAUACCGAUGGCGAAGGCAGCCCCCC